AUUGAACGCUGGCGGCAUGCUUUACACAUGCAAGCCGAACGGUAACAGGCCGCAAGGUGCUGACGAGUGGCGAACGGGUGAGUAAUGCAUCGGAACGUGCCCAGUCGUGGGGGAUAACUACUCGAAAGAGUAGCUAAUACCGCAUACGAUCUAUGGAUGAAAGCGGGGGACCGUAAGGCCUCGCGCGAUUGGAGCGGCCGAUGUCAGAUUAGGUAGUUGGUGGGGUAAAGGCUCACCAAGCCAACGAUCUGUAGCUGGUCUGAGAGGACGACCAGCCACACUGGGACUGAGACACGGCCCAGACUCCUACGGGAGGCAGCAAUGGGGAAUUUUGGACAAUGGGCGCAAGCCUGAUCCAGCAAUGCCGCGUGCAGGAAGAAGGCCUUCGGGUUGUAAACUGCUUUUGUACGGAACGAAACGGCUCUGGUUAAUACCCGGGGCUAAUGACGGUACCGUAAGAAUAAGCACCGGCUAACUACGUG
RNAcentral lists this ribosomal RNA (482 nucleotides) under uncultured bacterium. Its description in RNAcentral is "partial 16S ribosomal RNA". It matches the Rfam family "Bacterial small subunit ribosomal RNA", at positions 30 to 507 of the family's 1533-position model. The record is from RNAcentral.